GCGGGUGUGGUGGAAGUGGUACCACGCUGGGCUCAUGACCCAGCGGAGCCGUUCGACUCGGACACCCGCC
RNAcentral lists this transfer RNA (70 nucleotides) under Actinoplanes sp. ATCC 53533. It matches the Rfam family "tRNA". From Rfam's summary of the family: Transfer RNA (tRNA) molecules are approximately 80 nucleotides in length. Their secondary structure includes four short double-helical elements and three loops (D, anti-codon, and T loops). Further hydrogen bonds mediate the characteristic L-shaped molecular structure. tRNAs have two regions of fundamental functional importance: the anti-codon, which is responsible for specific mRNA codon recognition, and the 3' end, to which the tRNAs corresponding amino acid is attached (by aminoacyl-tRNA synthetases). tRNAs cope with the degeneracy of the genetic code in two manners: having more than one tRNA (with a specific anti-codon) for a particular amino acid; and 'wobble' base-pairing, i.e. permitting non-standard base-pairing at the 3rd anti-codon position. Lineage: Bacteria; Bacillati; Actinomycetota; Actinomycetes; Micromonosporales; Micromonosporaceae. The record is from Rfam by way of RNAcentral.